RNAcentral lists this transfer RNA (79 nucleotides) under Flammeovirgaceae bacterium TMED32. RNAcentral describes it as "tRNA-His". Lineage: Bacteria; Pseudomonadati; Bacteroidota; Cytophagia; Cytophagales; Flammeovirgaceae. The record is from RNAcentral.
GGUUAGUAGCCUUCGAAGAAGGCAAAAAACGCCUGAUUGUGGUUCAGGAGGUCGCCGGUUCAAGUCCGGUCUUCCACCC